GCCGCCACGUUAUCCCACUAUGCAUAUCCUUAGUGCGCCCUAGCUCCCUUUGGCGCUCUGAUGGGU
This 66-nucleotide small nucleolar RNA is filed under the name Trypanosoma congolense IL3000. It matches the Rfam family "Small nucleolar RNA TBR17", at positions 25 to 89 of the family's 119-position model. From Rfam's summary of the family: TBR17 is a member of the C/D class of snoRNA which contain the C (UGAUGA) and D (CUGA) box motifs. Most of the members of the box C/D family function in directing site-specific 2'-O-methylation of substrate RNAs. Lineage: Eukaryota; Euglenozoa; Kinetoplastea; Trypanosomatida; Trypanosomatidae. The record is from RNAcentral.